Molecule: ribosomal RNA, 254 nt
Filed under: uncultured bacterium
Lineage: Bacteria
Description: partial 16S ribosomal RNA
Rfam family: Bacterial small subunit ribosomal RNA
Source: RNAcentral
UACAGGGGGAGCAAGCGUUGUUCGGAUUUACUGGGCGUAAAGGGCGCAUAGGCGGCCACCGCAAGUCGACUGUGAAAUCUCCGGGCUUAACUCGGAAAGGUCAACUGAUACUGUGCGACUAGAGUGCAGAAGGGGCAACUGGAAUUCUCGGUGUAGCGGUGAAAUGCGUAGAUAUCGAGAGGAACACCUGCGGCGAAGGCAGGUUGCUGGGCUGACACUGACGCUGAUGCGCGAAAGCCAGGGGAGCGAACGGG